AUGUUCAUGUUUCCUACAGUAAAAGUUCCUGGUGAUACCACAAAGAGUCUCGUGUGUUCAUUCAGGAGCGGCUGUGGUGAGCUGACACUAAGCCAAGAAUACGGACACCAUCCCGCUGUAGCGGUGAGGUGUAACAUGCAAGUGGAGGAUGAAGAGCUCUUGGGCGCCGGAGGAGGAAGGUCGGAAAGGGCCACUCCCGAGACGGACGCUGAGUUCCACCAGCUGGCGGCCCUGGCGUCAUCCACCGCUUAUGCCCAGCCAAAUGGGGUAACCCAGAGGCGCGGAGUGGUGCGGGGAGAUAGCACCGGAGGAGAGGAAGGUUCACCUUCCCCAGGCCCGCAAAAGAUGGUGUUUCUGGAGGAGAGGAUGUCGGCGAUGGAGACCACCCUGGCAGUGAUGUCGAGGGCGAUGGAGCGCCUGGCGGUUUUGGCGGAGCCGGAGCGAGGAAGGGAACUCCGGGCUAGCUCAAUGUGGGACGUGAGCAUGGGAAGCAGCCAGGGCUUUGCAGACCUCCCAGCACCGAAGGGAAGGGAAAUGCGAAAGGAGCCCGGUGCCCGGCCCAAGAUCCAAACGAGCCUGACGCGGGUGGAGGAGAGUGACGACGAAGGGGAAAAGCCUCCGAGAAUCCCGGCUACGCUCCCAACUGAGACCCUGGUGCCCCUGGCGAAUGCCGGGCGUGGCACAGGACAAAGGGAAGCAGCAGCGGGGCCCACUGGCCCGCAAGGGGGCUUGCGACGGGCGGAGGAUUGGGGAUUGCCACCACAGGGACCCCUACCGAGACGAGAGGAACUAAGGAUCGAGUUUGGGGGAGAGUCCUCUGAACUGGAUUUUUUCCUGACCACGGUGAGGGGCUAUAUGGAGGACAAUGCCCACACUUUUAGAACGGAAUCCAGCCGGGUACGGGCCAUUGGUGCAGUGUUGAAGAGGGGAGCGGCCAGCUGGUACGUUCAACUACACGCGCGGCGCGACCCAUGUCUGGGGUCACUCCGACGCUUUAUGGGGGCCCUGGAGACCCGUUUCCGAGAUCCACUGGAGCAGAUCCGGGCGAGGGAGGAGUUGAAGACCGUCUCCAGGGGCAGAGGUCGGUAUCUGAGUAUGCGGAGGAGUCCA
RNAcentral lists this long non-coding RNA (1110 nucleotides) under Anolis carolinensis (green anole). Its description in RNAcentral is "lncRNA (ENSACAG00000028529.2)". Lineage: Eukaryota; Metazoa; Chordata; Lepidosauria; Squamata; Anolidae. The record is from RNAcentral.